This is a long non-coding RNA of Oncorhynchus gorbuscha (pink salmon), 1749 nucleotides long. RefSeq lists it as uncharacterized. The transcript is spliced from 3 exons. The record is from RefSeq and is a predicted model, not a curated record. Lineage: Eukaryota; Metazoa; Chordata; Actinopteri; Salmoniformes; Salmonidae.
UGACUCCUUGCUGUCCCCAGUCCACCUGGCCGUGCUGCUGCUCCAGUUUCAACUGUUCUGCCUGUUAUUAUUAUUUGACCAUGCUGCGUAUCUCUCCACAGUGAUGGCAAAUAUGCACUUCAUGAACAGGAUUUGUUUCUUACCAUUGGACGUACCAGAGGUGAUAUGUGGUUGACUGACAAGCACCAUCCAUGUUGUCUCCGGGAAACACAUAAUCCUCGUAGGAAUAAAUGGUCGCUACAAUGUCACAGUGCCUGUGCUGACCUGCACAACCUGUCUUAGCACCUGGACCGCAAACUUGGCAGAUCUGAUAAAGAAUGGGUACUGGCCUGCCACUGUCAACUGUGACACCAUAUGCCAGGUAGAUCUGUUCAGCUCUUUUGAAGAGCUGAAAGUGUCAGCCCCAGGAAUGUCCCGUCUGGCGUUUAUGUGGAUUAUGGAGCAGUGAACUGACUUCUUUGGCAGGGUAACAAUAAAUGAUACUCAGCUUUACCAAUGUAUGACUUCAGGUUAACAAUAUGUUAAAGUUAUAUUACACAAAGCGUUGUAACAAAAUGUAUUUCCUGUACUACAACUAGGUUAAAACUGCAGGUCUCUUGCUACAGUGUGUGUUAACCUCCUGCACCACUGUCCUACCAUGCCCCUUAUCUGUGCCCCUCUUGCAUCCAAUAUAUCCUGCUCUUUACAACAUAAGUACUCAUCCUACUUUUGCAUUGGCUUUCACCUGCUUUGCUGUCAACACUAUACACUGGCCCUGCUUUAACUCAAAUCCAGUCAGCCAUAGUGAAUUAUAGUAUGUUUUGUUUAUAGUGUUGUUGUAAGUUAUUUCAUAUAUUUUCUAUAUGUAUUUUUCCCUUACCAGAAUGGAAUGAUCUGUGGGGAGACUUAUCAAGAAAGCUUAUUUGAGUGGACGUACUGCCGCUCUGAAAUUGAUCAGGUCUGUGAUGUACAGUACUUUGACUGCCCAGCCUGGUCUGUGAUGUACAGUACUUUGACUGCCCAGCCUGGUCUGUGAUGUACAGUACUUUGACUGCCCAGCCUGGUCUGUGAUGUACAGUACUUUGACUGCCCAGCCUGGUCUGUGAUGUACAGUGCUUUGACUGCCCAGCCUGGUCUGUGAUGUACAGUACUUUGACUGCCCAGCCUGGUCUGUGAUGUACAGUACUUUGACUGCCCAGCCUGGUCUGUGAUGUACAGUGCUUUGACUGCCCAGCCUGGUCUGUGAUGUACAGUACUUUGACUGCCCAGCCUGGUCUGUGAUGUACAGUACUUUGACUGCCCAGCCUGGUCUGUGAUGUACAGUGCUUUGACUGCCCAGCCUGGUCUGUGAUGUACAGUACUUUGACUGCCCAGCCUGGUCUGUGAUAUACAGUACUUUGACUGCCCAGCCUGGUCUGUGAUGUACAGUGCUUUGACUGCCCAGCCUGGUCUGUGAUGUACAGUACUUUGACUGCCCAGCCUGGUCUGUGAUGUACAGUACUUUGACUGCCCAGCCUGGUCUGUGAUGUACAGUACUUUGACUGCCCAGCCUGGUCUGUGAUGUACAGUACUUUGACUGCCCAGCCUGGUCUGUGAUGUACAGUACUUUGACUGCCCAGCCUGGUCUGUGAUGUACAGUACUUUGACUGCCCAGCCUGGUCUGUGAUGUACAGUACUUUGACUGCCUAGUCUGGUCUGUGAUGUACAGUGCUUUGACUGCCCAGUCUGGUCUGUGAUGUACAGUGCUUUGACUGCCCAGCCUGGUCUGUG